CGGGGUGAGUAAUGUAUGGGGAUCUGCCUGAUGGCGGGGGAUAACUACUGGAAACGGUAGCUAAUACCGCAUAAUGUCUACGGACCAAAGCGGGGGACCUCCGGGCCUCGCGCCAUCAGAUGAACCCAUAUGGGAUUAGCUAGUAGGUGAGGUAACGGCUUACCUAGGCGACGAUCCCUAGCUGGUCUGAGAGGAUGAUCAGCCACACUGGGACUGAGACACGGCCCAG
This 229-nucleotide ribosomal RNA is filed under the name uncultured bacterium. RNAcentral's name for it is "partial 16S ribosomal RNA". It matches the Rfam family "Bacterial small subunit ribosomal RNA", at positions 104 to 334 of the family's 1533-position model. The record is from RNAcentral.